Molecule: long non-coding RNA, 3532 nt
Organism: Diospyros lotus (date-plum)
Lineage: Eukaryota; Viridiplantae; Streptophyta; Magnoliopsida; Ericales; Ebenaceae
Exons: 2
Source: RefSeq, a predicted model, not a curated record
GCAGCCUCGUCAUAAGCCAGUGCUGCGUCCUCGGCCGUCUUGAAAGUGCCAAGCCAGACUCGGGCUGCCUUGUUCGGAUCUCGAAUCUCGGCUGCGAAUUUGCCCCAUGGUCGCCGCCUAACCCCUCUAUACUGUCUUCUCUCCUGUUACAUACCUUGAUCUGGACUGUGCUCAAACUGGUUGGCUUCCAUAGCUUGAGAUUGGGAAUCAGGGGCUAAGGGGCUUUCAUGAAGCGGGCUUCCAAGAACCCGAGCUAGAGCUGAGACCAUGGCCCUAGUGUCGUGUUGGGAGCGUGCUGAGUAGACAGGGAAGAUGUGUUCUUCCUCUUUCUUCUCCGAUUCAUCGUCCUCGUUGACGAAUCGAAUCGGAUCCACCUUAAUUGCGAGCUUCUGCAACUUCUGGGAUCGAUCGAGUUUGGAAGACACCAGAUACGUACUCCUGGACUGUGGAGUUUCUUUGUGAGAUUAACGAUCACUUCAAUGAUAUAUAUCCGGCGGUCAAGAUAGAUAAAGACUGAUAAUGAGUUGAUUGGCGAAGACCAAGAAGAAGAAGAAGAAGAGAAGAAGAAGAGAAGAAGAAGCAGAAAGAGUAAAAUUAAAGCGAUGGAAAUGGGAAAAUUAGGGUUUCGAUCGCGCGCUAUAUACUGGACUUGAACAGUGCACGUGGAAACUUGCUCUGCCUCUACCCUCUUGUGGCUGCCUGCAUAUACAUACAUACACACACACACAUAUAUAUAUAUAUAUACACAUGACUGAUUUUACGAAAGGGCAAUGAGUUUUAAACCCUAUACUCAAAUAGAAUUUUUGUUUUACAAAUAAAUGGGUGAUAAUAACCUAUAUAAUUUUUUCGCUACAUUAUUAUAAUUUGUUGAAGUACAAAAACACAUGAUAGUAGUUUGAUAAUUGCAAAGAUUAUAUUAACAUUGUAAUACCUUGUAUUGGCAUAAGGUUGCCACGUAAUUUCGAGGAAUUUGGGAUACUGAAAAGUGGGUUUGAUAGUAAAAUAAAUCGCUGAAUCAGCUGCAGAGUAUCCCAGGGCUCAGAUGCCUAAAGAAAAUGCCGAGAUAAGAUUUAUGACAUAGAAAGAAAUUUGAUUUGAAACGAUUUUCGGUACAGUUAGGAUUCAGGCUGAGAAACCGAAUAAUGGCAAGAGAUUUCUAGAAAGUCAACGGGACCUCGAGUAGGGCUAUAUUAAAUUUAAGAAACAACCCUUAAGAAGUUUCGAGAAGAAAACAUAAGGAUUUUCAAUCAGCAUAUGAUCCUAUGUAUAAUCGGGCCUACGUGUAAUUUAUUAAUUUUGGUCGAGAGAGGUAUAAACGAUGGUUUUUCUUUGUUUUCGGGGGUGGAAUGGAGAGUUUAGAUCUUAUGGGGCUUAGUGGGAUAGUUGGAUAAUUUAGGCACUUGAGGAUAAGGGCCAAAAUGUAAAAGAAAGUUUCAAGGGGGGCUAAACUGUAAUUUCAAAAAAUAUGCAUAGGCAUGGUCGAUUUGGCCGUGAUUUUUGGCAGGAAAAUCCGAAGAAAUGAUAGCCAAAUUUCGUUAGGGCAUGGCCAAGGAUGGUCCAAAAGGCGUGUGGGAGAAGCUAUGGCCAGAGAUUGGCCAUGUGGGGGUCGGUUUUGGCCUAUAAAUAGUGAGGGUUUUUAGUCGAUUUUAGAGUAACAAAUUGCUCAAGUUUGAGGGCGAAUCAAAGGAAGCCAAUAAGGGGCUUUUGAUUCUUGAGUUAAGAAGAGAGUUUCUGGAAAUUUUCGUGGGUUUUCGAGGUGGUUUGAGGGUGGCCGGAAAGUUGCGCACGGUGGCCGGAUCGGGUUUGAUUUUGCUUGAUUCGGAGGCCCUCUGAUGGUCGUUUCAGGCACCCAAGGGUACCCUCGUGAUUGACUUGGAUAAGGUUACCAGCCGGUGUAGUCGGAGAAGAAUUUCGGUCGUUGGCCGGCGAGGAGCUCGCCUGAGAAGAAGGCGCCUGUGGCCUUCACGUGCGACUGCCACACUCAACCUACUCGCUUGGCGUGUGGGGGCGCGUGCCAAAGAGGUAUUUUUCGAUUUUUUUUUUCAAAAUUCUUGAAAAAUUAUUUUAUGAUUUAUUAUGUAAAAAUAUUUGAGAAAAUAGUUGUGUAAAUAUUUAUUUUUGGAUUAUUAGUGAGAAAAAUAGGAGAAAAAAAUGAAAAAUGUGAGGAAAUUAAGGAGAAAAUUAUAUUUUGAUGAUUAUUGGAUGAUUAUGGUGUCUUGUGGCUUAAGGUGAAGUGACUAGUGCGAAGUUUGAGGUGGGCACGCAAAUCGAGGCAUUUCAUGCUUUUCGAAAAAAUUUGAGUUGCAUCUAAAAGUGAGUUGUUAUAUCGAAAAAACUUAUUUGUGGCAUGUGAAUGGUUUUCUGUGAGUUGUUCAAUCCAAUUCCUAUGUGUAUUCUUGUUACUUUGAUCAUUUUUGAUUUAUCGUGAGUGGUUGGUUUCGUGCGAUGGUUCGUCCAAACGAUUAUUUACACAUGCAUUGAAUUUCGUACGGUAAAUUGCAUAUAUUGAAAUGUUGAUUUUAUGUUAUGCAUGUUAUGAUUUUCGGCAUUGGCAUGUUAUGUGUUGUCUAUGUGGGACGUGGGUUGUUAACUUGUAGUGUGGCCCUUGAGUGACAGCACUCGGGAUGCGUGCCGAGGAUUGUUGUCAUGUGACCUACUUGGGAUGGGGUUGAGACUUUCACCUUAUGAUAUUCAAGUGGUGGGACUGAGAGUGGACACCACCCCGAUUGUUGGCUCAAGUGGCGGGACUAAGAGUGGACACCACGCCAGGUUUCUUUGAGCAAUAACAUUAAUACCGAGGUGCCGUUGAUUCCGGGGAUAGUGCUAAUGUGGUACUCUAGCGGCUAGAGUUACGUUGGGUCUUGGAAUGCUUUUGAGUAGGAGCUAUGUUGCACGGAAACGGAAACGAGAAACAUUUCCUAUUAGAAACUGAAAUGUGGAAACGGACAUUCUUUUAAAAAAAUAGGCAUAAAUAGGGUCCGAAAAGGGAAUAGGAAACGUUUCGGAAACGGCUCCUAUGAGGUGUUUUUGUGCAACAUAGAGUAGGAGCGUAAUGCCUAACAAUGAUAUUGUGGUGAUUCCCAGGUUCAUAUGUCGAGGUUGUCCCUCUUAUCGUGUUUGCCAAUGGGUCGAUGUUGUCGUGUCGCCUUUAGAGAGAUUGUAUUUUUUUCGGUUAGGGCUAAGUGCUAUGUGGGAUUUUCUUAGGUUGGGGAAUGUCAGGAUUUGUUGGUUUUAUAUAUGAUUAUGCAUAUAUUCAUAAAAAUGUUUUUGAACUCUCAUUUAGAUGACUCAGUAUCUAAUUUGGACUAUGUCCCUGGAAUAUUCAAACGUUCCAGGUGAAAAUAGUGGCGCCAAGGGAAAGGAUGUCGUCGAGAUGUAGUUGUUAUUGUUAGUUUUCAUAGGUUUUUGUCUAUGAUUACGAUGUUUCGAGGUUAUGUAAUAUUUUGAUAUUUUCAUGUGAAACAUCGAUUUGGUUAUUUAACUGUAAAAGGAAUUUGUCGGUUAUAUAUCAUUGAGAUUUCGAUCUUGCUUU